This 333-nucleotide long non-coding RNA is filed under the name Daucus carota (carrot). Its description in RNAcentral is "long non-coding RNA (DCAR_LNC000648)". The record is from RNAcentral. Lineage: Eukaryota; Viridiplantae; Streptophyta; Magnoliopsida; Apiales; Apiaceae.
AUAUUACAGCUUCACUGUCAUCAUCAAACUCAUUCCCCAAUCUUUUUCUCUUCUUUUGAAUUUCUUUAGCUGCUUUUUUGCUGAUAGUCUUUCAACUUCUGAGUUUUCUAAAAUCACAACUUUUGGAGAUGACGGGGAAAUAUUUUUCAAACGUUCUUUGAGAACUUUUUUUUUUUUUUUAUAGCAAAAUCAGCAUUCCGCUUCAGCAAGUACUCAAUAGCUUCCAACAAUGCUAUAAAGAAAGUUGGUUUUACAAAGUUCUUUUUACAUCUCCGUCGCACUUUGUAUCCAUUAAAUUGAACGCAAAUGAAUCAGUUACUAAUAAUAUAAACC